Molecule: long non-coding RNA, 1087 nt
Organism: Mustela lutreola (European mink)
Lineage: Eukaryota; Metazoa; Chordata; Mammalia; Carnivora; Mustelidae
Exons: 4
Source: RefSeq, a predicted model, not a curated record
AGAUCUGGAUCUGAGCUUUUCAAAUUGUCUUGGGUUAGAAUGAGAGCAGAAUCUUCAUCACCUUGUGAAGGACUCCUGGAUGGAAAGGAUUUCAUAUUUCCACUGUAAUCCUGGGGAGUGUUGGCUGUGCUGUUGUCUGAGAUCAUGGACAUUUGGAUUGCCCAAAAUACAUUUUACCAGGUUUCAUCCUUUGCCAUCAACAAGGGAGGUGUUAAAAGACUGUAUUACUCCCUUCAAAAGCAUUCUCCUUAUGUGCAAAGAGCACUGUAAUGGGCAAUAUGAGUAAUGGAGAGAAUACAGAUCCAGCCAUAAGGAACUUGAAGUAUGGAGGCAGAGUUCAGAUUAUCUACUUAGCUAAAAAUAUGAAACGGCUAUGCUGCUGCGUUUCACAUAUCCUGAGUCAUGAGAGACGUUCACGGAACAGUGGUUAUCAAGAACUAAGCACAGAAAAGAGACAAGAACGAGUGUGUCUUACGUCUUCUAGGGCCUCUAGUUCUUCCUCCAGCUGCUGGGUCUCCUCCUUCACUGCCAUAAGUCCUCACUGAUCUGUUCAUUGUACGAAUGAGGAAAUCAAGGUGAAGAGAGAUGGAGAAGUUUCUCAAAGUCAGGUAGUCACAGAGACACACAGUGAGUGGAAUUGCCAGGAUUCAAAGGCAAGCCGACACCAGUAAAGUGACUGGUUCAUCACAGCAAACCACAAAACUAUCUAGGAAAACAGGCGAGCCUGAAGGAAGCACUCUGCUACUUUUCAUCAUUUACCACUUAACCAGGAAUCACACUUUAAGUUCCUGAGAGAAAACUGAGUAUCCACCAGAAAAAGCUAUUUUCUUUCUGUUCAAACUAUAAAACCAGGGAAGUCCAUUUUACUUGAACUGAUCAUUUCCGGAAUUAAAUCUGAUAUUAUUAUAUACACCACAGUUAAAAUCAUUUUAUGACAAUUUCAAAACUGUUCUCUCGUUGCAGUUCAUAAAGCACUUUACUGUUAAGUUUUUGACUUUGCAAUUUAAGUUCUACAUUUCAUUGACUUUCCCCCUGGAUAGAAACAAUACAGUUUUAAUUUGAAUAAAAGAUGACUUGGGGCUUCAAA